AGUGGGACCCACUCCUACGGGAGGCAGCACUGGGACUCCUACGGGAGGCAGCAGUGGGACAGUUGGCUCAGAACGAACGCUGGCGGCCCACUCCUACGGGAGGCAGCAGUGGGACUCCUACGGGAGGCAGCAGUGGGACUCCUACGGGAGGCAGCAGUGGGACCCACUCCUACGGGAGGCAGCAGUGGGACUCCUACGGAAGGCAGCAGUGGGACAGUUGGCUCAGAACGAAUGCUGGCGGCUGGCUCAGAACGAACGCUGGCGG
Molecule: unclassified non-coding RNA, 265 nt
Filed under: uncultured bacterium
Lineage: Bacteria
Description: partial contains 16S ribosomal RNA and 16S-23S ribosomal RNA intergenic spacer region
Source: RNAcentral